AACGAACGCUGGCGGCAGGCCUAACACAUGCAAGUCGAACGUGAAGCAGGAGCUUGCUCCUGUGGAAAGUGGCAGACGGGUGAGUAACGCGUGGGAAUUUGCCCAGCUCUACGGAAUAACGCAGGGAAACUUGUGCUAAUACCGUAUACGUCCUCCGGGAGAAAGAUUUAUCGGAGUUGGAUGAGCCCGCGUUAGAUUAGUUUGUUGGUGGGGUAAUGGCCUACCAAGACGACGAUCUAUAGCUGGUCUGAGAGGAUGAUCAGCCACACUGGGACUGAGACACGGCCCAGACUCCUACGGGAGGCAGCAGUGGGGAAUAUUGCACAAUGGGCGCAAGCCUGAUGCAGCCAUGCCGCGUGAGUGAAGAAGGCCUUAGGGUUGUAAAACUCUUUCAUCGGUGAAGAUAAUGACGGUAGCCGAAGAAGAAGCCCCGGCUAACUCCGUG
RNAcentral lists this ribosomal RNA (445 nucleotides) under uncultured bacterium. RNAcentral describes it as "bacterial SSU rRNA". It matches the Rfam family "Bacterial small subunit ribosomal RNA", at positions 29 to 507 of the family's 1533-position model. The record is from RNAcentral.